GAUGAAGAACGUAGCGAAAUGCGAUAAGUAGUGUGAAUUGCAGAAUUCAGUGAAUCAUCGAAUCUUUGAACGCACAUUGCGCCCUUUGGUAUUCCAAAGGGCAUGCCUGUUCGAGCGUCAUUUGUACCCUCAAGCUUUGCUUGGUGUUGGGCGUCUUGUCUCUAGCUUUGCUGGAGACUCGCCUUAAAGUAAUUGGCAGCCGGCCUACUGGUUUCGGCGCGCAGCACAAGUCGCACUCUCUAUCAGCAAAGGUCUAGCAUCCAUUAAGCCUUUUUUUCAACUUUUGACCUCGGAUCAGGUAGGGAUACCCGCUGAACUUAAGCAUAUCAAUAAGCGGAGGA
This 341-nucleotide unclassified non-coding RNA is filed under the name soil metagenome. RNAcentral's name for it is "partial contains 5.8S ribosomal RNA, internal transcribed spacer 2, and large subunit ribosomal RNA". The stretch from base 1 to 120 matches the Rfam family "5.8S ribosomal RNA", at positions 35 to 154 of the family's 154-position model. The record is from RNAcentral.